RNAcentral lists this ribosomal RNA (402 nucleotides) under uncultured Sphingomonas sp. Its description in RNAcentral is "bacterial SSU rRNA". It matches the Rfam family "Bacterial small subunit ribosomal RNA", at positions 355 to 774 of the family's 1533-position model. Lineage: Bacteria; Pseudomonadati; Pseudomonadota; Alphaproteobacteria; Sphingomonadales; Sphingomonadaceae. The record is from RNAcentral.
UAGGGAAUCUUGGACAAUGGGCGAAAGCCUGAUCCAGCCAUGCCGCGUGAGUGAUGAAGGCCUUAGGGUUGUAAAGCUCUUUUACCCGGGAUGAUAAUGACAGUACCGGGAGAAUAAGCUCCGGCUAACUCCGUGCCAGCAGCCGCGGUAAUACGGAGGGAGCUAGCGUUGUUCGGAAUUACUGGGCGUAAAGCGCGCGUAGGCGGUUUUUUAAGUCAGAGGUGAAAGCCCAGUGCUCAACACUGGAACUGCCUUUGAAACUGGAAAACUUGAAUCUUGGAGAGGUCAGUGGAAUUCCGAGUGUAGAGGUGAAAUUCGUAGAUAUUCGGAAGAACACCAGUGGCGAAGGCGACUGACUGGACAAGUAUUGACGCUGAGGUGCGAAAGCGUGGGGAGCAAACA